AGAUUGAACGCUGGCGGCAGGCCUAACACAUGCAAGUCGAGCGGUAGAGAGGUGCUUGCACCUCUUGAGAGCGGCGGACGGGUGAGUAAUGCCUAGGAAUCUGCCUAGUGGUGGGGGAUAACGUUCGGAAACGGACGCUAAUACCGCAUACGUCCUACGGGAGAAAGCGGGGGACCUUCGGGCCUCGCGCCAUUAGAUGAGCCUAGGUCGGAUUAGCUAGUUGGUGAGGUAAUGGCUCACCAAGGCGACGAUCCGUAACUGGUCUGAGAGGAUGAUCAGUCACACUGGAACUGAGACACGGUCCAGACCUCCGUACGGGAGGCAGCAGGUGGGAAUAGUUGGACAAGUGGGCGAAAGCCUGACUCCAGCCAUCGCCGCGUGUGGUAGAAAGGACGGUACGUUCGGAAUUU
RNAcentral lists this ribosomal RNA (410 nucleotides) under uncultured soil bacterium. RNAcentral describes it as "bacterial SSU rRNA". It matches the Rfam family "Bacterial small subunit ribosomal RNA", at positions 26 to 431 of the family's 1533-position model. The record is from RNAcentral.